UUAAGCGACUAAGCGUACACGGUGGAUGCCCUGGCAGUCAGAGGCGAUGAAGGACGUGCUAAUCUGCGAUAAGCGUCGGUGAGGUGAUAUGAACCGUUAUAACCGGCGAUUUCCGAAUGGGGAAACCCAGUGUGUUUCGACACACUAUCAUUAACUGAAUCCAUAGGUUAAUGAGGCGAACCGGGGGAACUGAAACAUCUAAGUACCCCGAGGAAAAGAAAUCAACCGAGAUUCCCCCAGUAGCGGCGAGCGAACGGGGAGGAGCCCAGAGCCUGAAUCAGUGUGUGUGUUAGUGGAAGCGUCUGGAAAGGCGUGCGAUACAGGGUGACAGCCCCGUACACAAAAAUGCACAUAUUGUGAGCUCGAUGAGUAGGGCGGGACACGUGGUAUCCUGUCUGAAUAUGGGGGGACCAUCCUCCAAGGCUAAAUACUCCUGACUGACCGAUAGUGAACCAGUACCGUGAGGGAAAGGCGAAAAGAACCCCGGCGAGGGGAGUGAAAAAGAACCUGAAACCGUGUACGUACAAGCAGUGGGAGCCUCUUAAUGGGGGUGACUGCGUACCUUUUGUAUAAUGGGUCAGCGACUUAUAUUCUGUAGCAAGGUUAACCGAAUAGGGGAGCCGAAGGGAAACCGAGUCUUAACUGGGCGUUAAGUUGCAGGGUAUAGACCCGAAACCCGGUGAUCUAGCCAUGGGCAGGUUGAAGGUUGGGUAACACUAACUGGAGGACCGAACCGACUAAUGUUGAAAAAUUAGCGGAUGACUUGUGGCUGGGGGUGAAAGGCCAAUCAAACCGGGAGAUAGCUGGUUCUCCCCGAAAGCUAUUUAGGUAGCGCCUCGUGAAUUCAUCUCCGGGGGUAGAGCACUGUUUCGGCAAGGGGGUCAUCCCGACUUACCAACCCGAUGCAAACUGCGAAUACCGGAGAAUGUUAUCACGGGAGACACACGGCGGGUGCUAACGUCCGUCGUGAAGAGGGAAACAACCCAGACCGCCAGCUAAGGUCCCAAAGUCAUGGUUAAGUGGGAAACGAUGUGGGAAGGCCCAGACAGCCGUGAUGUUGGCUUAGAAGCAGCCAUCAUUUAAAGAAAGCGUAAUAGCUCACUGGUCGAGUCGGCCUGCGCGGAAGAUGUAACGGGGCUAAACCAUGCACCGAAGCUGCGGCAGCGACACUAUGUGUUGUUGGGUAGGGGAGCGUUCUGUAAGCCUGUGAAGGUGGCCUGUGAGGGUUGCUGGAGGUAUCAGAAGUGCGAAUGCUGACAUAAGUAACGAUAAAGCGGGUGAAAAGCCCGCUCGCCGGAAGACCAAGGGUUCCUGUCCAACGUUAAUCGGGGCAGGGUGAGUCGACCCCUAAGGCGAGGCCGAAAGGCGUAGUCGAUGGGAAACAGGUUAAUAUUCCUGUACUUGGUGUUACUGCGAAGGGGGGACGGAGAAGGCUAUGUUGGCCGGGCGACGGUUGUCCCGGUUUAAGCGUGUAGGCUGGUUUUCCAGGCAAAUCCGGAAAACCAAGGCUGAGACGUGAUGACGAGGCACUACGGUGCUGAAGCGACAAAUGCCCUGCUUCCAGGAAAAGCCUCUAAGCAUCAGGUAACAUCAAAUCGUACCCCAAACCGACACAGGUGGUCAGGUAGAGAAUACCAAGGCGCUUGAGAGAACUCGGGUGAAGGAACUAGGCAAAAUGGUGCCGUAACUUCGGGAGAAGGCACGCUGAUAUGUAGGUGAAGCGACUUGCUCGUGGAGCUGAAAUCAGUCGAAGAUACCAGCUGGCUGCAACUGUUUAUUAAAAACACAGCACUGUGCAAACACGAAAGUGGACGUAUACGGUGUGACGCCUGCCCGGUGCCGGAAGGUUAAUUGAUGGGGUUAGCGGUAACGCGAAGCUCUUGAUCGAAGCCCCGGUAAACGGCGGCCGUAACUAUAACGGUCCUAAGGUAGCGAAAUUCCUUGUCGGGUAAGUUCCGACCUGCACGAAUGGCGUAAUGAUGGCCAGGCUGUCUCCACCCGAGACUCAGUGAAAUUGAACUCGCUGUGAAGAUGCAGUGUACCCGCGGCAAGACGGAAAGACCCCGUGAACCUUUACUAUAGCUUGACACUGAACAUUGAGCCUUGAUGUGUAGGAUAGGUGGGAGGCUUUGAAGUGUGGACGCCAGUCUGCAUGGAGCCGACCUUGAAAUACCACCCUUUAAUGUUUGAUGUUCUAACGUUGGCCCGUAAUCCGGGUUGCGGACAGUGUCUGGUGGGUAGUUUGACUGGGGGCGGUCUCCUCCUAAAGAGUAACGGAGGAGCACGAAGGUUGGCUAAUCCUGGUCGGACAUCAGGAGGUUAGUGCAAUGGCAUAAGCCAGCUUGACUGCGAGCGUGACGGCGCGAGCAGGUGCGAAAGCAGGUCAUAGUGAUCCGGUGGUUCUGAAUGGAAGGGCCAUCGCUCAACGGAUAAAAGGUACUCCGGGGAUAACAGGCUGAUACCGCCCAAGAGUUCAUAUCGACGGCGGUGUUUGGCACCUCGAUGUCGGCUCAUCACAUCCUGGGGCUGAAGUAGGUCCCAAGGGUAUGGCUGUUCGCCAUUUAAAGUGGUACGCGAGCUGGGUUUAGAACGUCGUGAGACAGUUCGGUCCCUAUCUGCCGUGGGCGCUGGAGAACUGAGGGGGGCUGCUCCUAGUACGAGAGGACCGGAGUGGACGCAUCACUGGUGUUCGGGUUGUCAUGCCAAUGGCACUGCCCGGUAGCUAAAUGCGGAAGAGAUAAGUGCUGAAAGCAUCUAAGCACGAAACUUGCCCCGAGAUGAGUUCUCCCUGAGACUUAGAGUCUCCUGAAGGAACGUUGAAGACGACGACGUUGAUAGGCCGGGUGUGUAAGCGCAGCGAUGCGUUGAGCUAACCGGUACUAAUGAACCGUGAGGCUUAACCU
This 2903-nucleotide ribosomal RNA is filed under the name Escherichia coli. Its description in RNAcentral is "23S ribosomal RNA". It matches the Rfam family "Bacterial large subunit ribosomal RNA". Lineage: Bacteria; Pseudomonadati; Pseudomonadota; Gammaproteobacteria; Enterobacterales; Enterobacteriaceae. The record is from RNAcentral.